This 264-nucleotide ribosomal RNA is filed under the name uncultured bacterium. RNAcentral's name for it is "partial 16S ribosomal RNA". It matches the Rfam family "Bacterial small subunit ribosomal RNA", at positions 88 to 354 of the family's 1533-position model. The record is from RNAcentral.
AUGGCGACCGGCGCACGGGUGAGUAACACGUAUCUAACCUGCCGAUGACUCGGGGAUAGCCUUUCGAAAGAAAGAUUAAUACCCGAUGGCAUAGUUCUUCCGCAUGGUAGAACUAUUAAAGAAUUUCGGUCAUCGAUGGGGAUGCGUUCCAUUAGCUUGUUGGCGGGGUAACGGCCCACCAAGGCAUCGAUGGAUAGGGGUUCUGAGAGGAAGGUCCCCCACAUGGAACUGAGACACGGUCCAAACUCCUACGGAAGGCAGCAG